Molecule: non-coding RNA, 504 nt
Organism: Pelobates cultripes (western spadefoot toad)
Lineage: Eukaryota; Metazoa; Chordata; Amphibia; Anura; Pelobatidae
Source: the annotation of a GenBank genome assembly
CUGACCCCGUACCUUUACCCCACCCACAAGCAUAUCACUUUAUGGGGUACGUAUGCAUACAGAGCUAAAUGCACUUAUUGCAAAGCUGAAAGAGAGGAUAUCAAAAACAAAAUGCAACAGUGAGUUGAGGUAAGAUGAUAAUUUAGUCAUCAACUCAGAAAAAUGUAGGUUUAAAGCAGAACUCUAAUUCUUCACCGAGUUCAAUUCCUCACCUGAGUAAACACUGCUAAAACAUGUACUGGGGUGACUAAUGCAGAAGAGAAAAGUAAAAACACCUUCUUAAUUUAAGUUACAUUGCAUGCCUGGUCAAUAACUUAGAAUUAAAUCUAGGGAGACUUUUACAAAUAAAUAGCAUACCAUAUCUUUUAGUAAGCUGUACCAUUUCUUCCAAAUUAUAUUUCUAUGUAAAUUCAGGUGAUUUAAAGAUUUUUAUUUUUUAGCUCAACAAUUUUGGUUCUCAACUGUUCAACUGUUUAUUUAUGGAACCCUAGGUUGAUGAAAAGG